This 253-nucleotide ribosomal RNA is filed under the name uncultured bacterium. RNAcentral's name for it is "partial 16S ribosomal RNA". It matches the Rfam family "Bacterial small subunit ribosomal RNA", at positions 524 to 776 of the family's 1533-position model. The record is from RNAcentral.
UACGUAGGGUGCGAGCGUUGUCCGGAUUUACUGGGCGUAAAGCGCACGUAGGCGGAUUCUUAAGUCAGGGGUGAAAUCCCGAGGCUCAACCUCGGAACUGCCUUUGAUACUGGGGAUCUUGAGUUCGGGAGAGGUGAGUGGAAUUGCGAGUGUAGAGGUGAAAUUCGUAGAUAUUCGCAAGAACACCAGUGGCGAAGGCGGCUCACUGGCCCGAUACUGACGCUGAGGUGCGAAAGCGUGGGGAGCAAACAGG